AUUGAACGCUGGCGGCAGGCUUAACACAUGCAAGUCGAGCGGUAGCACAGGGGAGCUUGCUCCCUGGGUGACGAGCGGCGGACGGGUGAGUAAUGUCUGGGAAACUGCCUGAUGGAGGGGGAUAACUACUGGAAACGGUAGCUAAUACCGCAUAACGUCGCAAGACCAAAGAGGGGGACCUUCGGGCCUCUUGCCAUCAGAUGUGCCCAGAUGGGAUUAGCUAGUAGGUGGGGUAAUGGCUCACCUAGGCGACGAUCCCUAGCUGGUCUGAGAGGAUGAACAGGCACACUGGAACGGAGACACGGUCCAGACUCCUACGGGAGGCAGCAGUGGGGAAUAUUGCACAAUGGGCGCAAGCCUGAUGCAGCCAUGCCGCGUGUGUGAAGAAGGCCUUCGGGUUGUAAAGCACUUUCAGCGAGGAGGAAGGUGGUGAGCUUAAUACGUUCAUCAAUUGACGUUACUCGCAGAAGAAGCACCGGCUAACUCCGUG
This 490-nucleotide ribosomal RNA is filed under the name uncultured bacterium. RNAcentral describes it as "partial 16S ribosomal RNA". It matches the Rfam family "Bacterial small subunit ribosomal RNA", at positions 30 to 507 of the family's 1533-position model. The record is from RNAcentral.